This 339-nucleotide long non-coding RNA is filed under the name Androctonus crassicauda. The record is from RNAcentral. Lineage: Eukaryota; Metazoa; Arthropoda; Arachnida; Scorpiones; Buthidae.
GGUUGACAAUUUCGUGACAAAUAUCGGUGAGUGUAUCUUUCUUCCAGCGGGUACGAAGUGCUCCUUCUCCGCCAUCCCCGAAAGAAUAAUAAACAUGUUGCAGUUCGGGCCGUCGGAAAGCUCGAACAUCGUGCAGGUGUUUGGUGGGGUUGAGGUGAAUUAUGUGUCCGGAGUCGCGAUAGCGACUUCCCGAAGAGAAGGGGGGAAAUAUGUUUAUUGUUCUAACCAAAAGAGUGAGAGAGAACUGGGACGAAAGAAAGAGCAGUUGGUUGCAGAUCGUCGAAGCUUUCGGAAGUGAUUCGGACGUGCUCACUUACUACAAUAAGUCGGGCUCUGAUC